RNAcentral lists this ribosomal RNA (253 nucleotides) under uncultured bacterium. RNAcentral describes it as "partial 16S ribosomal RNA". It matches the Rfam family "Bacterial small subunit ribosomal RNA", at positions 524 to 776 of the family's 1533-position model. The record is from RNAcentral.
UACGUAGGUGGCAAGCGUUGUCCGGAUUUACUGGGCGUAAAGAGCGCGCAGGCGGUCGUUCAAGUCGCGUGUGAAAGCCCCCGGCUCAACUGGGGAGGGUCACGCGAUACUGAUCGACUCGAAGGCAGGAGAGGGUAGUGGAAUUCCCGGUGUAGUGGUGGAAUGCGUAGAUAUCGGGAGGAACACCAGUGGCGAAGGCGGUUACCUGGAGCUUUGCUGACGCUGAUGCGCGAAAGCGUGGGGAGCGAGCCGG